GACCGCGUAGCUCAGUUGGCAAAGCUUUGGGCUAGUAUUCCAAAGGUCGUAGGUUCGAUUCCCACCGUGGCCA
Molecule: transfer RNA, 73 nt
Filed under: Paramuricea clavata
Lineage: Eukaryota; Metazoa; Cnidaria; Anthozoa; Malacalcyonacea; Plexauridae
Rfam family: tRNA
About the family: Transfer RNA (tRNA) molecules are approximately 80 nucleotides in length.
Source: Rfam by way of RNAcentral